GAUGAACGCUAGCUACAGGCUUAACACAUGCAAGUCGAGGGGAAACGAUAUUGGAAGCUUGCUUCCGAUAGGCGUCGACCGGCGCACGGGUGAGUAACGCGUAUCCAACCUGCCCACCACUUGGGGAUAACCUUGCGAAAGUAAGACUAAUACCCAAUGAUAUAUCUAGAAGACAUCUGAAGGAGAUUAAAGAUUUAUCGGUGAUGGAUGGGGAUGCGUCUGAUUAGCUUGUCGGCGGGGUAACGGCCCACCAAGGCGACGAUCAGUAGGGGUUCUGAGAGGAAGGUCCCCCAGAUUGGAACUGAGACACGGUCCAAACUCCUACGGGAGGCAGCAGUGAGGAAUAUUGGUCAAUGGACGAGAGUCUGAACCAGCCAAGUAGCGUGCAGGAUGACGGCCCUAUGGGUUGUAAACUGCUUUUAUAAGGGAAUAAAGUGAGCCUCGUGAGGCUUUUUGCAUGUACCUUAUGAAUAAGGACCGGCUAAUUCCGUGCCAGCCGCCGCCGUAA
Molecule: ribosomal RNA, 508 nt
Filed under: uncultured bacterium
Lineage: Bacteria
Description: partial 16S ribosomal RNA
Rfam family: Bacterial small subunit ribosomal RNA
Source: RNAcentral